Molecule: long non-coding RNA, 267 nt
Filed under: Dromaius novaehollandiae (emu)
Lineage: Eukaryota; Metazoa; Chordata; Aves; Casuariiformes; Dromaiidae
Description: lncRNA (ENSDNVG00000016408.1)
Source: RNAcentral
UUGAGUUGCAAAGUCUGUAUUCAGCUGAAUGAAUCUCUAGGGUCAUAAACACUGAUGUCCCUCUUUCUUUUUCCUUUUUUGUAGUUUGCAAUAAGGUGGAACUCUUACUUCCAAGAUACUGGCUCUACAUUAAAAAAAUUAAAAAGUGGAAGAAGACUUCUGAGACCAAACUAGGAAAAAUGGAGUUUAGAACUGACUCUUGAUACUAGAUGCACAUUUGGCAGGAGGCCAAGGCAAAUCAGAAUAAACAACCAGAAGAAAAUGCCA